This is a ribosomal RNA of 1095 nucleotides. It matches the Rfam family "Bacterial small subunit ribosomal RNA", at positions 337 to 1441 of the family's 1533-position model.
UCCUACGGGAGGCAGCAGUGGGGAAUAUUGCACAAUGGGCGAAAGCCUGAUGCAGCGACGCCGCUUGAGGGAUGACGGCCUUCGGGUUGUAAACCUCUUUCCGUAGGGAAGAAGCGAAAGUGACGGUACCUGCAGAAGAAGCACCGGCUAACUACGUGCCAGCAGCCGCGGUAAUACGUAGGGUGCGAGCGUUAUCCGGAAUUAUUGGGCGUAAAGAGCUCGUAGGCGGUUUGUCGCGUCUGUCGUGAAAGUCCGGGGCUUAACCCCGGAUCUGCGGUGGGUACGGGCAGACUAGAGUGCAGUAGGGGAGACUGGAAUUCCUGGUGUAGCGGUGGAAUGCGCAGAUAUCAGGAGGAACACCGAUGGCGAAGGCAGGUCUCUGGGCUGUAACUGACGCUGAGGAGCGAAAGCAUGGGGAGCGAACAGGAUUAGAUACCCUGGUAGUCCAUGCCGUAAACGUUGGGCACUAGGUGUGGGGACCAUUCCACGGUUUCCGCGCCGCAGCUAACGCAUUAAGUGCCCCGCCUGGGGAGUACGGCCGCAAGGCUAAAACUCAAAGGAAUUGACGGGGGCCCGCACAAGCGGCGGAGCAUGCGGAUUAAUUCGAUGCAACGCGAAGAACCUUACCAAGGCUUGACAUGUUCUCGAUCGCCGUAGAGAUACGGUUUCCCCUUUGGGGCGGGUUCACAGGUGGUGCAUGGUUGUCGUCAGCUCGUGUCGUGAGAUGUUGGGUUAAGUCCCGCAACGAGCGCAACCCUCGUUCCAUGUUGCCAGCACGUAGUGGUGGGGACUCAUGGGAGACUGCCGGGGUCAACUCGGAGGAAGGUGAGGACGACGUCAAAUCAUCAUGCCCCUUAUGUCUUGGGCUUCACGCAUGCUACAAUGGCCGGUACAAUGGGUUGCGAUACUGUGAGGUGGAGCUAAUCCCAAAAAGCCGGUCUCAGUUCGGAUUGGGGUCUGCAACUCGACCCCAUGAAGUCGGAGUCGCUAGUAAUCGCAGAUCAGCAACGCUGCGGUGAAUACGUUCCCGGGCCUUGUACACACCGCCCGUCAAGUCACGAAAGUUGGUAACACCCGAAGCCGGUGGCCUAACCC